AUAUACUAUAUAUGUAAAUGAAAUAGUUUCGUUGAUAAAAUGAAUAUAUAUUUUAAUUUUAUGAUAAUAUAAUAUAAUGUAACGAACUAUACGUAUACGCGCCACGCAAAAGGGAGUAGAGCGCGGUGGCAGAGAGGGAGCAUAACGGCAUAAGAGAACGUCAUGCCGUUUCCGGUCACGGCAUACAAGUUGGUUUUACCCCCAAGGCGUGCCUAUUGGCGUAAUGUUUCACAUUAAAAAAUGAUUAUAAGAAUUUUACGAAUAAAAAAUCUUAUUUCAAUAUAUUCACACAUAUUUCAUCCAAUUGAGGGUGUUUCAAGAUGAAAUCACAGAUAUCGAGAUUGUUAAGUCAGCGGGAAAAGGGCAAAUCUAAGAGUUUUUCAAGGCGGAAAUACGUUGAAAAUAUCAAAUACUGUCAUUCAUUACAGCCUGUUUAAAUAUUCAAGAGGAUGUUUCACCGCAUACGAUUUACGACUUCACGGGGAAUAGAGUCUUGUAUCGGACAUGUCUGGAUCAAACGACCUUAAAAUAUAUCUGAAGUUCCGUAUGAGCUUACGAGUGCCUACAAUUCUACACACACAUGUAAUAAAGCUGUAUCAGUGUGCUCGUACAUGAAGUAGCUAUAAAGAUUUUGUGGUAAGACUUUAUACGAGUCUGUCUUGUAAUGUUAUACGAAUAAUAAUAAUGGGUAAUAUAAACAAUACAAAAUACAAAUAAGAAAAUAAUUUUGAAAAGCUGUUGCUAAUAAAUAAGUUUGAAUAAUGAAUAAAUAGUAUAAAUAUAUAACAUUUACACACUUAACGAGUAACUAUCAUAUAUUACCAAAUAAAUAAGCAGUUGUAUUAAUGGUAAAUGUAAUAAAGAAAUAAUAUUUAUAUUCAUUUUCAAUAAAAAAAUUAUUUGCGUUAAAUAAUUUGACACAAGAAUGUUUGUGGUUCAGUUAUCUUUUUAAGGAAUAUAGCAUUUGUUAGGAGACCUCGCUCUUCCAUAACGAGACGUAAAAAUAUAUAUUUUUUAAUCCAUUGUACUACGUUAAUGCAAUACAAGUGUUGAGUACUACGUUAAUGCAAAUAUUCAAAUCUCAAAAUGAAAUGGUGUAUGUGUGCAUGUGUUCGAGUGUGUGUGUAUCAAUGAGUAUGUUGUAGAAGUGUCUCAUUAUCACAGUAAGUGAGUGUUUUUAUCCACUUUGUUAUUGAGUUUUUUUAUCAUACUAAUUUUUAAGGUAAAUAAAAAUCUAUCUAUAUCCCUAUAUUAUUAUGUAGGUAUUUAUGAAAUCACCAAUUGUUUUAGUUCCAAAUUUAUAUUUAUGCAUUGAUUGACGUUUUAGUUUGAAGG
Long non-coding RNA from Nymphalis io (European peacock), 1335 nucleotides. RefSeq lists it as uncharacterized. Lineage: Eukaryota; Metazoa; Arthropoda; Insecta; Lepidoptera; Nymphalidae. The record is from RefSeq and is a predicted model, not a curated record. The transcript has 3 exons.